ACGGCCUUCAACAAUGAGCAAAGCCCAUACCGCAUAGUCAGCUAUAAAAGGCCCCGACAAGACAAUGUAAAACAAUUCAAACGAGAAAACUAACGGCCUUAUUUCUGUAAAAAAAAUUGAACGAAAAACAAAUAUGUAACACAUAAACAAACGACAACCACUGAAUUACAGGCUCCUGACUUGGGACAGGCACAUACAUAAAUAAUGUGGCGGG
RNAcentral lists this long non-coding RNA (214 nucleotides) under Mytilus galloprovincialis (Mediterranean mussel). Lineage: Eukaryota; Metazoa; Mollusca; Bivalvia; Mytilida; Mytilidae. The record is from RNAcentral.